UGCGUAGGCGGUUUGUUAAGUCAUUUGUAAAAGAUCUCAGCUCAACUGAGUAAGGCGAAUGAAACUGGCAGACUUGAAUACGGUAGAGGUAAGUGGAAUUCCAUGUGUAGCGGUGGAAUGCGUAGAUAUAUGGAGGAACACCAAUGGCGAAGGCAACUUACUGGGCCGGAAUUGACGCUGAGGCACGAAAGCGUGGGGAGCAAACAGGAUUAGAUACCCUGGUAGUC
Molecule: ribosomal RNA, 227 nt
Filed under: uncultured bacterium
Lineage: Bacteria
Description: partial 16S ribosomal RNA
Rfam family: Bacterial small subunit ribosomal RNA
Source: RNAcentral